GUGCUCACUUCAGCAGCACAUAUACUAAAAUUGGAAUGAUACAGAGAAGAUUAACAUAAACCUUUAUGUAUGUGUGUUUUGUUUCUUGGAGGAAAUGAAUUUUU
Small nuclear RNA from Sphaerodactylus townsendi, 104 nucleotides. Lineage: Eukaryota; Metazoa; Chordata; Lepidosauria; Squamata; Sphaerodactylidae. The record is from RefSeq and is a predicted model, not a curated record.